UACGUAGGGGCCAAGCGUUAUCCGGAUUUACUGGGCGUAAAGAGCAUGUAGGUGGUCUGUUAAGUUGGACGUGAAAGCUCCUGGCUCAACUGGGAGAGGUCGUUCAAAACUAACAGACUAGAGGAUGGUAGAGGAGAGCGGAAUUCCAGGUGUAGCGGUGAAAUGCGUAGAUAUCUGGAGGAACACCAGUGGCGAAAGCGGCUCUCUGGCCCAUUCCUGACACUGAGAUGCGAAAGCCAGGGGAGAGAACGGG
This 253-nucleotide ribosomal RNA is filed under the name uncultured bacterium. RNAcentral describes it as "partial 16S ribosomal RNA". It matches the Rfam family "Bacterial small subunit ribosomal RNA", at positions 524 to 776 of the family's 1533-position model. The record is from RNAcentral.